Heterocephalus glaber (naked mole-rat) is the source of this 4504-nucleotide non-coding RNA. The record is from RefSeq and is a predicted model, not a curated record. NCBI's taxonomy places the organism in Eukaryota, Metazoa, Chordata, Mammalia, Rodentia, Bathyergidae.
GUCUGCUCACCCUUGCGGCUUGGAGCUUCUCCCGCAUGCGCUCCCUCAUGGAAAACUCUGCGAAGCCCGUUCUGGAUGUUGAAGGAAUUGGAGGGCUUCACGCGAGCAACCAUGAGAUGUGCUGCAGCCCCGCUUUGGAUGCAGGAAGGUGUGUCUUGGCUUGGAGGCUGACAGGGAAAAUGGCUCUGCCAGGACUGUCGCCCCAACUUAACCAAGAAUAAAGGGAAUGGCACCUGAGGCCCAACUCAGAUUCCACUGGGGAGAGGCCCUGACAUUCAUGGAUUGGGAACAGACGCCUAAGGAGUCAAGCCUUUCACUUUGAGCAGAGAAAUCUCUUCUCCAGGCCUUGGCCACAGCCCCGCUCAGUGGCAUAGAGAUGCAGUGUGUUUUGUCCAUAGUAUGAAAUACGGACAACACAUCUGGAACCAGUGGGCAGCUGAUGUGUGGCAGGCACUGUGACACACGUCAAAUGCACCGUCUCCUCGGUCUCCUCCUGGCAGACCCUGGGUGUCCCUGACCCAGGCAGGAGACGACACAGACUCUGAGGCCCUGUGUGGUAAGUGCCUGGCUCCACCAUCACACACGCAGCAUGCAAAGUGUGUAGGAUCUGGUCCCAGCUUUACACUUCUGAUGCUCUACAACCUGACAGGAGAGGUGGCGAUAAAAGGACUGAUCAACAGAGUGCCAGCCUCAUGGGAGCAGAGUCCCUACCGGGAAGGGGGGGCUGGAGUUUGGGGUUCAGUUGGGGAGCCUGAGGUGUCCCACAGAGGAGCUUUGGCUCUGCUCUCCAAGCUGCUCGGAAGACAGAGAAACCCUCCCACCUUGGCAAAAUUCCAGGGAUGGAAAUGUGAACCUGGAGUGCGGGAGCAGCACCCGGCAGAAGCCAGCUUGAUUCAGGAGCUGAAACUGGAAAGGAGAAGAGGUUGUAUCCCGCGGGGCUGGGAGGAAAGCUGUAAUGACGUGGACAAUGCAAGGACCUAAAGUAUCACCAGCCACAGUCAAAGCUCUGGGGACACAGGAUUCUGCCAACAAGCAGGGAAAAGCCAGGGCAAGGAAGGGGCCAAAUGGCUAAGGACAGUCACCAGUAGGGUGGAAGAAUGAGGUGGUUACCCACUGAAGGGUAUGAACGGAGGGUGACACAACCUGAUUUUUUUUUUUUUUUGGUACAGGAGAUUGAACUCGGGACCUUGCGCUUGCGAGGCAGGUGGCAGAACCACUGAGCUAAAUCCCUGGCCCACAACCUGAUUUUUAUAAGAUUUCUCUGGCACCUUGGUCAAGAAUGAGGGGAGAAUGCAAGCAAAGAGACCAGUUAGGAGGCUCUCGCAAGACCUAGUCGUAAAUGCACACUCGGUCUGGCAGGGGCCAGGCUGAGGAAAACAGCGUGUGGACAGGAUCAAAGCCUUGAGGUACCAACAGGAAUCGGUGUUGAUACAGAAAGCAGGGCCACGCUAGGAACUCGAAUGCACGACACCGGGCAGCUGGGCUGUGAGUGAGGGCUCCAAAGACGAGAAGAGGAGCAGCCAGAGAGGCAGAAGGAGAACCAGGGUUGGACUUGAGAUCAGCUGGCUUCCAAAAUCCUCUCAUUUGCAACAGUUACUUUAUCCUCCCUGUGCACAGUGAUACAGUGUAACAGAGGACAGUUGCUCCUUAGCAGGGCCACAGAGUUACCUUGGAAAGGUUUGUCUCGUCCUGGCUUAAGAGGAACUCCUGCGGAGACGGGGGAGGGACGGAGCAGCCCGGGGCCAGGGGCUGGCUGCUGGCUCAGACUGAAGUGGAAUUUGGCCUUGGGGUGAAGAAAGAGGGGUUCCCUGGGAUCUGCAAUCCUGCACUGCCAUCUACUGCCAGUCCUUGGUUAUGGCCCGAGUGACAACGCUGAAACACGCUUCAUCCAUUCUUGGUUGACUGCUCACAGGAGCCCGGAAGAAACUUAAAGGAAAAACGCUCCAAGUACAAACCACAGCCCUAUCGUGAGGAUCGCCCACCAGCCCGCACACCAGGGCUCCCACACCGGUGUCCAUCUGCAGUCCCCAGAGCAGCCGGGAGUUUGUGCCCACAGGAAGGGUGCUGUUCCUGACAGAGUCGGUGUCCACCAAGGGGUGCAGGCAGGCCGCAGGUCACUGACACCAUGCACAAGCAGAGCUUCCCUUCACCUCCUACCUGUUUCUUUUUUCGAUGUCUUUCAGCCUUUGAAUUCUUCUUCCACCUUCCCACAUCUGCCUCCUCGUCAUUUUCAGUGAACUCCUUUGUUAAAAUGCAAAGGGAACAGGGGAGAGAAUCUUAUGAGAGGAAGCGGGGUAUGAUUUUCAAGUAUCAGAAUUAAAAACACCAUGUUGACCUCGGGUCUGCAUCCAUGACAUCAAAUGUGAGCGAAGGAACAGUUAGCACAAUCUAAGUGGCCGUCACAUCUGCUCUUCUCAAAAUAACAAGCUCUUGAAAACCUGAACCCAAGUGAAAUAGUUGUAGACAUGAUAUUGGAGUGCCGUUGUUGCAGGUCUGCAUUUAUGGCUAUGAGAUUUAUGGGGCACUUACUAUGUUCCAGCUCUGGGGGCCUCAGGACAGAGUACAGCACACUGCCCACUCACCAUCAAAGAAAGGCAACUACCAAGGGAAGCUGUCAGGACAGACGGCGAGCCAUAGCUCAGGACAAACAUCAGACUCAUGCCCGGGAUUCCACAGCUGUCCUUUCCAGCCUCGCCGGCAGGUGAGGAAAAAUGAAAACACAGCACAUGCUAAAUCACCACGAGAAUCGUAACGCAGAGAAAAGUUUGGCAAAUCUUUUUGAAAUGGGAAAAUCGCAAAGGUCAUUUUCUUUGCACAUUAUACUUUUUAGCAUUUUAGACAAAAUAUUAGAGCUGAAAACUUGAAAGUAUCCAAGCCCUAAAGUUUUCUUGUCCUAGAGUUUUACAGAGUGGGUCAUGAGCACCUGUGGAGUCAAGGAGAAGUUGCAAGAUAAACGUGGACCCUCUCCUGGCAAACCAAAUUCAUUAGACCUCUUUUUCUAAAAUUGUUGCUUUUUCUAAAUAUGUUGCUUUUAUCCUAGAACACAAAGCCCGGAUCUUAAUGAUAUGAGAAGGUUUCAAAGAACUCGAAUGCAGGUUGUGGGGCCAGGGCCCAACUACUGCUCCGUUCCCUAGGCCACUGGGCUUAGGGAAGCCAGGAGCUUCGGUUACGGAGGAGAGAGCUGAAGUCGACUGGAGCAUGGCUUUGGUGGGGAUUUUCCUGGUCUUUGCGAAUGCUCUCCUUCCUCAGGGUCCACCAGAUACAGCAUUCUUAGCUUAGAGAUUCACCAACUUAAUUACGAGAUGAUGGUAAUAUGGAGGUGUGCAGGGAUGGCUCUUUACACAAAUCUGGUUUUGUUGGCUUAGAAUGGACUUGUGAGAAGUCUAGGUCAUUUUUUCCUUUCCAAUAAUAUUUCAUCUUUGAUCAUUAGAAAACUGACUGGUAAAACUUGCAAUAAGAUGGAAUGGGAGCUCCAUGCGGGCACUGGAUUUUGGUCACUGUGGAAUCCCCAGGGACUAGAGACACAGACAAUAUUUGUUUCAUGCAUCAGUGGGCAAAUACAGAGCUGUGUGGCUUGUAGGUACUUAGUAUCAUGGUUAAAGUUAAUCUGCAUGGUUUUCAUAAUGUGUUCCCUGAGGAGUUUGGAAGCAUUACAUUGGAAACAGUGCACUUUCUCUCUCUGGUCUUUAACCAGUGAGCCCUUAAGCCCAGGGAGAAGCAAGGAUCGAGAGGAGCAAGCAUUCUCUCUGCCAAAUUGGAGAUGGUUUUCCUUCUGUGGGCUGUGCGGGGCUUUAGUGAGUUUGUGCACCAUGAGACAGAAAUUUCCAGGCUCGAGCACAGAGGGUUUUAUUAGCAAAUGUAAUCAAUGCAAUCUACAACUGUGGCCUUCCUUCUCAACUUUAUAGGAAAGCAUGGUCUUCAGGCAGAGGUGGGCCCAGGAGCGGGUGGUGAGUGGGAGCUACUGUGUGCUGCAAUUCAGUUUCACAGCAUUUGUGGAAAAGACAGACAGAGGCGCCUAUGGGCCUGCAGCACCCCUCACCACCCACCUCCUCUUCUCCACCAUGUGCCUGAGAGGGAAGGCCUGGCAACUAAACUUGGCCUGAGGGUGCCUCCGUACUUGGAGUCUUUCCUUAAACUGCAACCUAACUUAGCACUAAGUAAUUGAAAGCCUAACUUACGAGUAUACACUGUAGCAAAUAACUGAGUCUCACAAUCACAGAAGCUCAAUCAAUCGGAGGUAGUCAAUGGAUCAGAUCACGUUCAACUAAGGCAGCACUGAACUGCAACCAAGCAAGCAUUUCCGUUAGUUCCUCACUUUCAUUUCCCAUCCUUAGAUGCUCUCGAACCUCUGCUAGUUCUGAGUGCUAUCUUACUCAUAAAGUGCCUUGGUCCAACUAAGAGCUGUUAAAUUGAAUCUAACAGUUUUUUAAAACCACAUGCAAUUCAUGCUUGUUGUUGGCCUUAAGUUUCUCAUUAAAAAAUACAUCCCAAAGGGACAUCGGAA